Molecule: ribosomal RNA, 406 nt
Filed under: uncultured bacterium
Lineage: Bacteria
Description: partial 16S ribosomal RNA
Rfam family: Bacterial small subunit ribosomal RNA
Source: RNAcentral
AUUGAACGCUGGCGGCAGGCCUAACACAUGCAAGUCGAACGAGUGGCGGACGGGUGUGCAACGUCAGUGAAACUGCCUGAUGGACGGGCAUAACUACUGGAAACGGUAGCUAAUACCGCAUCCCUACGGCUGUCCCCUGAUUGGAUUAGCCAGUAGGUGGGGUAAAGGCUCACCUAGGCCACGAGCCCUAGCUGGUCUGAGAGGAUGACCCGAAACGUUGUAACUGAGACACGGUCGAGACUCCUACGAGUGGCAGCAGUGGGGAAUAUUGCAAAAUGGGCGCAAGCCUGAUGCAGCAAUGCCGCGUGUAUGAAGAAGGCCUUCGGAUUGUAAAGUUCUUUCAUCGGGGAAGCGUUACCCACAGAAGAAGCACCGGCAAACGCCGUGCCAGCCGCCGCGGUAAUUC